UACGAAGGGGGCUAGCGUUGCUCGGAAUCACUGGGCGUAAAGCGCACGUAGGCAGAUUGUUAAGUCGGGGGUGAAAUCCUGGAGCUCAACUCCAGAACUGCCUUCGAUACUGGCGAUCUUGAGUCCGGGAGAGGUGAGUGGAACUCCGAGUGUAGAGGUGAAAUUCGUAGAUAUUCGGAAGAACACCAGUGGCGAAGGCGGCUCACUGGCCCGGUACUGACGCUGAGGUGCGAAAGCGUGGGGAGCAAACAGG
Molecule: ribosomal RNA, 253 nt
Filed under: uncultured bacterium
Lineage: Bacteria
Description: partial 16S ribosomal RNA
Rfam family: Bacterial small subunit ribosomal RNA
Source: RNAcentral